GUUAAUGUUAAUACAAAUAACAAAAAUGGGAACUUUUCAAAAAUAAAGGAGGAGCAGGGCUAAGAAAUCAAUUGUCCUGUCCCAAAAGCACCUGACUUUUGAUACCUUUUAUGAAAUUCUCCAUCAAUUAAAUCUUUUACAAAAAUUCAUUAUAACAAAAAAAAAAGAAGGGUGUGGUAUGAUUGCCAAUGAGACAACUCUCCACAAGAGACCAAAAUGACACAGAAAUUAACAACUAUAGGUUACUGUACGGCUUUCAACAAUGAGCAAAGCCCAUACCGCUAUAAAAGGCCCCGAAACGCAAUGUAAAACAAUUCAAACGAGAAAACUAACGGCCUUAUAUAUGUACAAAAAAAUGAACGAAAUAAAAAUAUGUAAGGCUUAGACAUAAACAAACGACAACCACUGAAUCACAGGCUCCUGACUUGAAUGUUCUUAAUAUACUAAAUGUAUGUUCAUAUUGAAAUUAAUAGAAAACAAAAAAAAUGGGAAUUUGGCAAAUAAAGGAGGGAUAAAAAAAACACACAUUUUCCUGUCCCCAAGUACCUAUGCCUUUUGAUACUUUGCCUGAAAUUCUCCAGUUAUUACAUCUUUUGCAAAAUUCUUCCUACAACACUUUACAUACUUUCAACCAUGCUCUGAUUGCCCGCG
RNAcentral lists this long non-coding RNA (651 nucleotides) under Mytilus galloprovincialis (Mediterranean mussel). The record is from RNAcentral. Lineage: Eukaryota; Metazoa; Mollusca; Bivalvia; Mytilida; Mytilidae.